This 480-nucleotide ribosomal RNA is filed under the name uncultured bacterium. Its description in RNAcentral is "bacterial SSU rRNA". It matches the Rfam family "Bacterial small subunit ribosomal RNA", at positions 903 to 1397 of the family's 1533-position model. The record is from RNAcentral.
AAAUGAAUUGACGGGGACCCACACAAGCAGUGGAUCAUGUUGUUUAAUUCGACAAUAAACGAGAAACCUCACCCAGGCUUGACAUCGAAGGAAUCCCCCAGAAACGGGGGAGUACCCGCAAGGGACCCGAAGACAGGUGCUGCAUGGUUGUCGUCAGCUCGUGCCUUGAGGUGUUCGGUUAAGUCCGUUAACGAGCGCAACCCAUGUCGUUAGUUAUUAUGUCUAACGAGACUGCCUGAGUUAAUCAGGAGGAAGGUGUGGAUGACGUCAAAUCAGCAUGGCCCUUAUGCCUGGGGCUACAAACAUGAUACAAUGGUCGGUACAAUGUGCAGCAAUAUCGCAAGAUGGAGCCAAUCACCAAAGCCGAUCUCAGUCCAGAUUGGAGUCUGCAACUCGACUCCAUGAAGUUGGAAUUGCUAGUAAUCGUGAAUCAGCUAUGUCACGGUGAAUCCGUUCCUGGGUCUUGUACACACCGCCCGU